RNAcentral lists this ribosomal RNA (1650 nucleotides) under Vibrio parahaemolyticus. RNAcentral describes it as "partial 23S ribosomal RNA". It matches the Rfam family "Bacterial large subunit ribosomal RNA", at positions 80 to 1786 of the family's 2925-position model. The record is from RNAcentral. Lineage: Bacteria; Pseudomonadati; Pseudomonadota; Gammaproteobacteria; Vibrionales; Vibrionaceae.
GAUUAGGUAGUAACAACCAUUUGAGUCUGGGAUUUCUGAAUGGGGAAACCCACGUGCAUAAGCACGUAUCCUUACCUGAAUACAUAGGGUAAGGAGGCGAACCGGGGGAACUGAAACAUCUAAGUACCCCGAGGAAAAGAAAUCAACCGAGAUUCCGAAAGUAGCGGCGAGCGAAAUUGGACUAGCCCUUAAGCUUUACACGCGUUAGACGAACGGUCUGGAAAGUCCGGCGAUACAGGGUGAUAGUCCCGUAGUUGACGACGUGUGUUCAGUGAAAUCGAGUAGGGCGGGACACGUGAUAUCCUGUCUGAAUAUGGGGGGACCAUCCUCCAAGGCUAAAUACUACUGACUGACCGAUAGUGAACCAGUACCGUGAGGGAAAGGCGAAAAGAACCCCUGUGAGGGGAGUGAAAUAGAACCUGAAACCGUGUACGUACAAGCAGUAGGAGCAGGCUUGUCCUGUGACUGCGUACCUUUUGUAUAAUGGGUCAGCGACUUAUAUUCAGUGGCAAGGUUAACCAUCUAGGGGAGCCGUAGGGAAACCGAGUCUUAACUGGGCGUUCAGUCUCUGGAUAUAGACCCGAAACCAGGUGAUCUAGCCAUGGGCAGGUUGAAGGUUGAGUAACAUCAACUGGAGGACCGAACCGACUAAUGUUGAAAAAUUAGCGGAUGACUUGUGGCUAGGGGUGAAAGGCCAAUCAAACCUGGAGAUAGCUGGUUCUCCCCGAAAGCUAUUUAGGUAGCGCCUCGGACGAAUACUACUGGGGGUAGAGCACUGUUAAGGCUAGGGGGUCAUCCCGACUUACCAACCCUUUGCAAACUCCGAAUACCAGUAAGUACUAUCCGGGAGACACACGGCGGGUGCUAACGUCCGUCGUGGAGAGGGAAACAACCCAGACCGCCAGCUAAGGUCCCAAAUUACUACUAAGUGGGAAACGAUGUGGGAAGGCUCAGACAGCCAGGAUGUUGGCUUAGAAGCAGCCAUCAUUUAAAGAAAGCGUAAUAGCUCACUGGUCGAGUCGGCCUGCGCGGAAGAUGUAACGGGGCUAAGUAGUAAACCGAAGCUGCGGCAAUAUACUUUUGUAUAUUGGGUAGGGGAGCGUUCUGUAAGCGGUUGAAGGUGUGUGGUAACGCAUGCUGGACGUAUCAGAAGUGCGAAUGCUGACAUGAGUAACGAUAAAGGGGGUGAAAAACCUCCUCGCCGGAAGACCAAGGGUUCCUGUCCAACGUUAAUCGGGGCAGGGUAAGUCGACCCCUAAGGCGAGGCCGAAAGGCGUAGUCGAUGGGAAACGGGUUAAUAUUCCCGUACUUCUUACAAUUGCGAUGGGGGGACGGAGAAGGCUAGGUGGGCCUGGCGACGGUUGUCCAGGUUCAAGUGCGUAGGCUUAAGAGUUAGGUAAAUCCGGCUCUUUCUAAGGCUGAGACACGACGUCGAGCACCUACGGGUGUGAAGUCAUUGAUGCCAUGCUUCCAGGAAAAGCCUCUAAGCUUCAGAUUGUAAGGAAUCGUACCCCAAACCGACACAGGUGGUCGGGUAGAGAAUACCAAGGCGCUUGAGAGAACUCGGGUGAAGGAACUAGGCAAAAUGGUACCGUAACUUCGGGAGAAGGUACGCUCUCGACGGUGAAGUCCCUCGCGGAUGGAGCUAUU